Molecule: long non-coding RNA, 432 nt
Organism: Lycium barbarum (goji berry)
Lineage: Eukaryota; Viridiplantae; Streptophyta; Magnoliopsida; Solanales; Solanaceae
Exons: 3
Source: RefSeq, a predicted model, not a curated record
ACACCAUUGAUGGUCCAAACUUGCUGCAUCUCCCGCCUUUAGAUAAGUUUUUAUUUGAUUCUUUUCAUUUCUGAUGUCACUGUAGCUCUGACCUUCUAUUUGCUUGUUUUUUGCAGGUAUCCUCGAUCUGUAUGCUUCUUCCCAGCUGAGCUGCUAUGUGUCUUCAAGGAGUUGUUGACAAAGAAUCAAGGAUGCAUUUUAUUGGACUCAUGUGGCUGCUUGACUCCUCCUUGUUUUUGAUUGUUUGAGUACUGAUGUCAUGACCAACAUCCCUACUCCUUUCAUUGGAUCUACCUCUUGACUCAGUUUGUUCUAGGUCUUGUCAUAUUUGCAGUGGCCAAGUCAACAGUUAGAGGUUUUCCAACAGAAGUGGCCAUGGAGAACACAUCUUCUCUAGCAAAGAAAUUUGGAGGGAGCUCUGGGAAGCUAAUU